Molecule: unclassified non-coding RNA, 204 nt
Filed under: uncultured Mycena
Lineage: Eukaryota; Fungi; Basidiomycota; Agaricomycetes; Agaricales; Tricholomataceae
Description: sequence contains ITS2
Source: RNAcentral
AAUUCUCAAACCUUUCUGGCUUUUAUUGGUCGAGAAGGCUUUGGAUGUGGGAGUUGCUGGAACUAGCCUUUCAGCUCUUCUUAAAUGUAUUAGCGGGUUACUGAUUUCCGCUACUUGGUGUUGAUAGUCUAUCUUACGCCUUGUAGUUGAAUCAACUUAUGUAGCUGCUUCUAAUCGUCGACUUGGUUGACAAUAUACUUGACU